This 537-nucleotide ribosomal RNA is filed under the name uncultured bacterium. RNAcentral describes it as "partial 16S ribosomal RNA". It matches the Rfam family "Bacterial small subunit ribosomal RNA", at positions 355 to 887 of the family's 1533-position model. The record is from RNAcentral.
UGGGGAAUAUUGCACAAUGGGCGCAAGCCUGAUGCAGCCAUGCCGCGUGUGUGAAGAAGGCCUCGGGUUGUAAAGCACUUUCAGCGAGGAGGAAGGUGGUGAACUUAAUACGUUCAUCAAUUGACGUUACUCGCAGAAGAAGCACCGGCUAACUCCGUGCCAGCAGCCGCGGUAAUACGGAGGGUGCAAGCGUUAAUCGGAAUUACUGGGCGUAAAGCGCACGCAGGCGGUUUGUUAAGUCAGAUGUGAAAUCCCCGGGCUCAACCUGGGAACUGCAUUUGAAACUGGCAAGCUAGAGUCUCGUAGAGGGGGUAGAAUUCCAGGUGUAGCGGUGAAAUGCGUAGAGAUCUGGAGGAAUACCGGUGGCGAAGGCGGCCCCCUGGACGAAGACUGACGCUCAGGUGCGAAAGCGUGGGGAGCAAACAGGUUAGAUACCCUGGUAGUCACGCUGUAAACGAUGUCGAUUUUGGAGGUUGUGCCCUUGAGGCGUGGCUUCCGGAGCUAACGCGUUAAAUCGACCGCCUGGGGAGUACGGCC